RNAcentral lists this ribosomal RNA (429 nucleotides) under uncultured Achromobacter sp. Its description in RNAcentral is "bacterial SSU rRNA". It matches the Rfam family "Bacterial small subunit ribosomal RNA", at positions 948 to 1382 of the family's 1533-position model. The record is from RNAcentral. Lineage: Bacteria; Pseudomonadati; Pseudomonadota; Betaproteobacteria; Burkholderiales; Alcaligenaceae.
AAUUCGAUGAUACGCGAAGAACCUUACCGGGGUUUGACAUGCAGGUGAUCGCCGUUGAAAGACGGUUUCCUCUUCGGAGGCACCUGCACAGGUGCUGCAUGGCUGUCGUCAGCUCGUGUCGUGAGAUGUUGGGUUAAGUCCCGCAACGAGCGCAACCCUUAUCAUUAGUUGCUACGCAAGGGCACUCUAAUGAGACUGCCGGUGACAAACCGGAGGAAGGUGGGGAUGACGUCAAGUCCUCAUGGCCCUUAUGGGUGGGGCUUCACACGUCAUACAAUGGUCGGUACAGAGGGUUGCCAACCCGCGAGGGGGAGCUAAUCCCACAAAGCCGAUCGUAGUCCGGAUCGCAGUCUGCAACUCGACUGCGUGAAGUCGGAAUCGCUAGUAAUCGUGGAUCAGCGUGUCACGGUGAAUACGUUCCCGGGUCUU